AACUUCCACCUGGCUUACCUCCUCAGUUAUGCGUCAUGACUUGUAUCGUCUUGAGCGUAUUGUGGGUUUCCUGUGUUGCAUACCUAAUAAUGGAAUCGUUUUGGUUGAUUGAAGUUCCUUUUCAUCACGUGUUGCCUUUGCGACGCAUGAUGAACCUCGAAGCGGUCUCUAUGUUCCACCACGUUGAUGCUAUUGUCUUGAUGUUGUGGCCCAUUGAGUGUUGCUUGGUUUCGUGGAUACAGAACAUGAUUUGGGCAUAGGGUCACCUGUGACUCUUGUUUUGUCCUUUAUCAGUGUUCUCUAUAACGACGGUUCAUGCGCGCCUAGGCUCGUACCUGCGCGAUGUUCUUUGUCGAAAAGGAAUGCUACCUGGUUGAUCCUGCCAGUA
This 388-nucleotide unclassified non-coding RNA is filed under the name Senecio longipilus. RNAcentral describes it as "partial external transcribed spacer". The record is from RNAcentral. Lineage: Eukaryota; Viridiplantae; Streptophyta; Magnoliopsida; Asterales; Asteraceae.